GCACAAGCGGUGGAGCAUGUGGAUUAAUUCGAUGCAACGCGAAGAACCUUACCUGGGUUUGACAUGCACAGGACGCCGGCAGAGAUGUCGGUUCCCUUGUGGCCUGUGUGCAGGUGGUGCAUGGCUGUCGUCAGCUCGUGUCGUGAGAUGUUGGGUUAAGUCCCGCAACGAGCGCAACCCUUGUCUCAUGUUGCCAGCACGUAAUGGUGGGGACUCGUGAGAGACUGCCGGGGUCAACUCGGAGGAAGGUGGGGAUGACGUCAAGUCAUCAUGCCCCUUAUGUCCAGGGCUUCACACAUGCUACAAUGGCCGGUACAAAGGGCUGCGAUGCCGCAAGGUUAAGCGAAUCCUUUUAAAGCCGGUCUCAGUUCGGAUCGGGGUCUGCAACUCGACCCCGUGAAGUCGGAGUCGCUAGUAAUCGCAGAUCAGCAACGCUGCGGUGAAUACGUUCCCGGGC
RNAcentral lists this ribosomal RNA (457 nucleotides) under uncultured bacterium. RNAcentral's name for it is "bacterial SSU rRNA". It matches the Rfam family "Bacterial small subunit ribosomal RNA", at positions 923 to 1379 of the family's 1533-position model. The record is from RNAcentral.